Molecule: ribosomal RNA, 119 nt
Filed under: Pteropus alecto (black flying fox)
Lineage: Eukaryota; Metazoa; Chordata; Mammalia; Chiroptera; Pteropodidae
Source: RNAcentral
GUCUACGGCCAUGCUACCCUGAACAAGCCCGAUCCUGUCUGAUCUCGGAAGCUAAGCAGGGUCGGGCCUGGUUAGUACUUAGAUGGGAGACCACCUAGGAAGACCAGGUGCUGUAGAUG